AAAUUGAAGAGUUUGAUCAUGGCUCAGAUUGAACGCUGGCGGCAGGCCUAACACAUGCAAGUCGAGCGGAAACGAGUUGUCUGAACCUUCGGGGAACGAUAACGGCGUCGAGCGGCGGACGGGUGAGUAAUGCCUAGGAAAUUGCCCUGAUGUGGGGGAUAACCAUUGGAAACGAUGGCUAAUACCGCAU
Molecule: ribosomal RNA, 190 nt
Filed under: Vibrio alginolyticus
Lineage: Bacteria; Pseudomonadati; Pseudomonadota; Gammaproteobacteria; Vibrionales; Vibrionaceae
Also listed under: 1 other name
Description: partial 16S ribosomal RNA
Rfam family: Bacterial small subunit ribosomal RNA
Source: RNAcentral